This 465-nucleotide ribosomal RNA is filed under the name Vreelandella stevensii. RNAcentral describes it as "partial 16S ribosomal RNA". It matches the Rfam family "Bacterial small subunit ribosomal RNA", at positions 338 to 795 of the family's 1533-position model. Lineage: Bacteria; Pseudomonadati; Pseudomonadota; Gammaproteobacteria; Oceanospirillales; Halomonadaceae. The record is from RNAcentral.
CCUACGGGGGGCUGCAGUGGGGAAUAUUGGACAAUGGGCGAAAGCCUGAUCCAGCCAUGCCGCGUGUGUGAAGAAGGCCUUCGGGUUGUAAAGCACUUUCAGUGGGGAAGAAAGCCUUGGGGCUAAUACCCUCGAGGAAGGACAUCACCCACAGAAGAAGCACCGGCUAACUCCGUGCCAGCAGCCGCGGUAAUACGGAGGGUGCGAGCGUUAAUCGGAAUUACUGGGCGUAAAGCGCGCGUAGGCGGUCUGAUAAGCCGGUUGUGAAAGCCCCGGGCUCAACCUGGGAACGGCAUCCGGAACUGUCAGGCUAGAGUGCAGGAGAGGAAGGUAGAAUCCCCGGUGUAGCGGUGAAAUGCGUAGAGAUCGGGAGGAAUACCAGUGGCGAAGGCGGCCUUCUGGACUGACACUGACGCUGAGGUGCGAAAGCGUGGGUAGCAAACAGGAUUAGAUACCCGAGUAGUC